CAGUAGCCGCGGUAAUACAGAGGGUGCAAGCGUUAAUCGGAAUUACUGGGCGUAAAGCGCGCGUAGGUGGUUUGUUAAGUUGGAUGUGAAAUCCCCGGGCUCAACCUGGGAACUGCAUCCAAAACUGGCAAGCUAGAGUAUGGUAGAGGGUGGUGGAAUUUCCUGUGUAGCGGUGAAAUGCGUAGAUAUAGGAAGGAACACCAGUGGCGAAGGCGACCACCUGGACUGAUACUGACACUGAGGUGCGAAAGCGUGGGGAGCAAACAGGAUUAGAUACCCCAGUAGUCCCUGUCUCUUAUAC
Molecule: ribosomal RNA, 301 nt
Filed under: uncultured bacterium
Lineage: Bacteria
Description: partial 16S ribosomal RNA
Rfam family: Bacterial small subunit ribosomal RNA
Source: RNAcentral